CAAUAGCGUAUAUUAAAGCUGUUGCGGUUAAAAAGCUCGUAGUUGGAUUUCUGUCAAGUACAACUGGUCCGCCCUCCGGGUGAGCACAUAGUUUGGUCUUGGCAUCUUGCUGGAAAUUGUUGCUGCACUUGGCUGUGUGGCGCAGUGUCCAGCACUUUCACUUUGAGGAAAUUGGAGUGUUUCAAGCAGGCAAUGCCUUUGAACACAGUAGCAUGGAAUAAUUAGAUUGGGCUUUUGCUCCAAUUUGUCGGUUUCUGGAGCUGAGGUGAGAAUUAAUGGGGAUUGUUGGGGGCAUCCGAAUUUAGCCGUCAGAGGUGAAAUUCUUGGAUCGGCUAAAGACGGACAACUGCGAAAGCGUCUGCCCAGGAUGUUUNCAUUG
Molecule: ribosomal RNA, 379 nt
Filed under: uncultured eukaryote
Lineage: Eukaryota
Description: partial 18S ribosomal RNA
Rfam family: Eukaryotic small subunit ribosomal RNA
Source: RNAcentral